Molecule: ribosomal RNA, 460 nt
Filed under: uncultured bacterium
Lineage: Bacteria
Description: partial 16S ribosomal RNA
Rfam family: Bacterial small subunit ribosomal RNA
Source: RNAcentral
CCUACGGGAGGCAGCAGUGAGGAAUAUUGGUCAAUGGGCGCAAGCCUGAACCAGCCAAGUCGCGUGAAGGAUGACUGCCCUACGGGUUGUAAACUUCUUUUAUCAAGGGAUAAAGUCAGGCACGUGUGCCUUUUUGUAUGUACUUUAUGAAUAAGGAUCGGCUAACUCCGUGCCAGCAGCCGCGGUAAUACGGAGGAUCCGAGCGUUAUCCGGAUUUAUUUGGUUUAAAGGGUGCGUAGAUGGGUGGUUAAGUCAGUUGUGAAAGUUUGCGGCUCAACCGUAAAAUUGCAAUUGAUACUGGCAGUCUUGAGUACAGUUGAGGUAGGCGGAAUUCGUGGUGUAGCGGUGAAAUGCUUAGAUAUCACGAAGAACUCCGAUUGCGAAGGCAGCAUACUAAACUGCCACUGACAUUGAUGCUCGAAAGUGUGGGUAUCAAACAGGAUUAAAUACCCGGGUAGUC